RNAcentral lists this ribosomal RNA (500 nucleotides) under Salmonella enterica subsp. enterica serovar Typhimurium. RNAcentral describes it as "bacterial SSU rRNA". It matches the Rfam family "Bacterial small subunit ribosomal RNA", at positions 1043 to 1533 of the family's 1533-position model. The record is from RNAcentral. Lineage: Bacteria; Pseudomonadati; Pseudomonadota; Gammaproteobacteria; Enterobacterales; Enterobacteriaceae.
GCAUGGCUGUCGUCAGCUCGUGUUGUGAAAUGUUGGGUUAAGUCCCGCAACGAGCGCAACCCUUAUCCUUUGUUGCCAGCGAUUAGGUCGGGAACUCAAAGGAGACUGCCAGUGAUAAACUGGAGGAAGGUGGGGAUGACGUCAAGUCAUCAUGGCCCUUACGACCAGGGCUACACACGUGCUACAAUGGCGCAUACAAAGAGAAGCGACCUCGCGAGAGCAAGCGGACCUCAUAAAGUGCGUCGUAGUCCGGAUUGGAGUCUGCAACUCGACUCCAUGAAGUCGGAAUCGCUAGUAAUCGUGGAUCAGAAUGCCACGGUGAAUACGUUCCCGGGCCUUGUACACACCGCCCGUCACACCAUGGGAGUGGGUUGCAAAAGAAGUAGGUAGCUUAACCUUCGGGAGGGCGCUUACCACUUUGUGAUUCAUGACUGGGGUGAAGUCGUAACAAGGUAACCGUAGGGGAACCUGCGGUUGGAUCACCUCCUUACCUUAAAGAA